UAUUUAUAGGUGAUAUGGAUGGUGACAUUGCAAUGAUCUUUCCUCUUGCUUACUUCAAUGAACUUGAAAAUAUGGUUGCAUUUUAAAAGGUCCGCACUACCUUUAUGAGCUGUAACACUCACUGCAGAGGUCUGCUGCUUCACUCCUGAAGUCAGGUGAGACCAUGAAUCCACCGGAAGGAAGAAACCCCGGACACAUCUGAACAUCUGAAGGAACAAACUCCGGACACACCAUCUUUACGAACUGUAACACUCACCGUGAGGGUCUGCAGCUUCAUUCUUGAAGUCAGCGAGACCAAAAACCCACUGGAAGGAACCAAUUCCAGACACAUUAUCACUAAUAAAACCUAUGGCUGUACCUUCUAGCAUUAUAUAUAAAAAGUGCAACAUAGAAAACAAAAUUUAAAUCCACAAAUAUUUAAUAUUCACAACUUCUGGAUUUAUCUCAUGUUGCAAACUAUUUUCGUUACCCUAUUCUUCAUAUGAGAAAUAUAAAACAUCAGCAUUUCA
This 509-nucleotide long non-coding RNA is filed under the name Pongo abelii (Sumatran orangutan). RNAcentral describes it as "lincRNA". Lineage: Eukaryota; Metazoa; Chordata; Mammalia; Primates; Hominidae. The record is from RNAcentral.